CCCGCCCGGGCGGAAUCGGCGCCCCGAGCGCCGGCCUGGGAGGGGCCGAGUGAGACGGCCACCUGCGCUGCCCCACGGCCCGGGGGCGCCCCGCAGGGCCCUGCGCCUGCCCAGACCCGGGCAGUGCCCGCGCCGCCCCGAGGGGGGUGAACACUGGAGGGUCGGGGAGGCCGGGCAGGGCCGCCGCGGAGGGCAAGAGCAGCCUCCGUUCACCUUAGCAUCACGAAGACCCCGCGCUUUCAGGCCGCAGGAAGGAAGCGCUGCUGUCAGCGGAAUGUCACUCCACCCCCUUCACUGAAGAUUGGGUUCCUGGCUCAUAGUAUUCCUGGCCAUCAUUCCUGCUGUCUUCAGCAUCCAGCCCAUGCUGCUCGUUCCCACCCCUGCCAGUCACCAAGUCCCGGAAGAUGCUCAUGUUGACGAGUUGGAGGAACACUGGCCCUCCUCAUCUUACUGGGCUUCUUGGCAACCUCAGUCCAGCCCAUACUGGCUGCAUCUGGAUCGACACUGGCUACAGCUUCUCCAAUUGCCUCCCACCCUAUCUGGCACUUCUCAAGCUCCCCAACCCCCUGGUGUUAGCGUCUCAGGGCUUAGCCUCCAGCCCCUUUCCUCUCUCCACACUCACUCCCGAGGCGACCUCAUGCAUAGCCAUGGCUUUAGACACCAUCUGGGUGCUGAGGAUGCCAGCAUUGCUGUUACAUCUGACCUUGGUCUGAGCUCUCACCAUCUGUUUGGUGUUACCAUGUGUUUAUGUCACAGGCAUCACCCAAACCAAACUUGUGAUCCCUGCAAUCUCUCCUCCUUCACUUCUCACCAGGGUUCGUGGUGCUUCCCUGUUGUUCCCUGUCUGCUUCCAGGCUGCACCCUUUCCCCUUUUCCUUAUUGUUGUCCCAGUUGUCCCAGAGCUCACGCUCCAUCAUUUUCAUUUCCACUUCUGACACACACCUCCGGCUGACUUCCUCCUCCACUCCUGCCACGUGCCUUCUCAUCCGUCCGCUGCAACUCUCCUGAGUGCUGCUUGCACCCUCGAGUUGUUCGCUCUCCUCAUCAUACAGCAGCUGGAGCUGAAUCAUAAUGCUUUUGUCCUCAUUGGCUUCCUGUCCUCCUUGAAUAAACUCCCAGCUCAGCCUUGGCUUUCCAGGGCCUGGGAAGAUGCAGUCGCAUCCCAUCCGUGCCUUCCCACCCGUGCCUUCCGCUCCCGGCUUCUAACUGGAUGGUCCUUGGUGCUCUCCAAGCGCCCCCUCCUGUGCACUGGUCAUGCCGGCAGGGCCUCUUGCCUUUUCCCAGGUCUGGUCUCCUGCCGGCACCAUCUCCUGGGGGCCACCUCCCAGGCAGCCCUCCAGAGCAGCCCUACCCCCACCACCCAGCACCUCACACCCCCAGUGCCUGGUCACUGUACAGUUCAGUUUCCACACAGUCCUUUUUGGUUUGAUGUCAUUUCGUUGUAGAUUUAUAUGUUAGCUUAGUUAAGCGGCCCUUUUCUCUCUCAGUAAGCCUCACAGAGGACAGCUAGGCUGUCAUGUUCACUGUUCUCCCCUUAGAACCCAGAGGCCUGGCACAUAAUACAUCCUCAACAAAAGCUGGUGAAGGAGCCCCUCCUUCUACCCAUACCUCUUUCCCAGGCUCCACUAAGACUAAAGGACUUAGUCUUCUCCAGACAUACCUCAAGCUGCUCUCUCUGCCUGGAAUGACCCUCCCCUUCUCUGGGCCAUCAGAGCACCACCUUCCUGCUUGACCACCCAACCCCGUGUACCACCAGCUGCCGAGGCCACACCUUCCCUGAAUCCCAGCCCUCACACCAGCGCACAUGCCACUUCCUCUCUGCAGCUGGGAGCAUCCCUGCUGAGAUUCCACCUCCCAGCAGCCUGACUUCCAGCUCAAGAGAGUCUACCAACGGAGAAAGUGAAUUUUCACACCAGUGAAGUAAAUACGACUUUCUCAGGGAAAACUUUUCUGACCCCUGGCAAGGGUAGCCCCGCUCCACUGUGCUCUCAUAUCUGAACCUUCUCCCCAGUAAUUAUUUGUUUGUGUAAUAUUUAGUUUAGUGUCAGGCUUCCCCUCAGAUGCCAUGGGGUGAUGGGUAUGAAUAUGAUGUCUGGUGCAGGUGCCUAAUAUAUAUUUGUCAAAUGAAUGCAUGAAGGACUGAGUGAAAAGUCCCAGUUGUUUACCCUCAGAUGACGGCUUCCUUGAGGAAGAACCCUCAUAAUCACGGCCUUGUCCCAAACAAAUUGGACAGUAGGCACAGAGGUCAGCAUUACUGCUACUAACAAACAGGGUCACCACAUUGCCUUUG
Molecule: long non-coding RNA, 2290 nt
Organism: Manis javanica (Malayan pangolin)
Lineage: Eukaryota; Metazoa; Chordata; Mammalia; Pholidota; Manidae
Source: RefSeq, a predicted model, not a curated record